UUCUCCUACUGAAACAUCAACGAGGGAACCUCUCCUCAUAAUCUAAUUGCCCCGACUCCCACCCGCAUCUCUCUCCUCAAACGACACAAACUCCAUGUGGUGAUGGAUGCAACUGAGCCCAGCCUCCUGUAGGGUUUGCGUCUGCCAUCGGGAUGAGAACCGGCGGCCAUGGCGGCUUGCGGGGCAAAGGAAGGAUUGGAAGACAAUCAAUCUGGAGGGUGUGUGGGACUUUAUGCAGAGGGGCGUCCACAUGCUCAUCAACAUUCUCGAUGGCCAGAGCCCGAGCACAACUUCGAGUACUACAUGAUGCAUCUGAAGAUUCUGAACAUGUUAGUGAUGGCUGGCUUUCCUACAUUUGUCGAUUUUAAAUUCAGUUAAACAAGAUAGUAUGUAUUUCAAAGACGUGUGCUUGCAUGGGUUUGAUACUUCCCUUUAUACCCGAUUGCAUAGGAAAACAAGAUCAGAGCAUAAUUCUACUUGGCAUUGGUGGCUGGGGUCAACAGGUUCAGUGAUUGUUCUUAUACUUUUGCUUCAGAAGGAAAUCGUGGAUCAUGAUCUUGCGGAGCAGAUGGAGGAGCCCAUGGCCCAGCAGCUGGAAGCGGACAUCAAUGCUCUGGUUUAUAACAAGCAGCAACUGGCCCUGCGAGCAAAAGCCACUAUCCAUCAAUGACAAGAAAGAGGAGGUCCAAAGGAAGGUGUGCAGAUUCCUACCAUGUGUCAUCAUGAUUUCUUUUAUUUCUUCUGUGAGCCCAAAACUCUAUUAUGGUACUAUGAUUACGUUCAAUUUGGUUGAAACAUGGAAUGGCAUGGCAUAUGAUUAGUAAUUUAGGUUCUGUGUGUGACAUUGCA
This is an RNA transcript of Triticum aestivum (bread wheat), 849 nucleotides long. RefSeq lists it as uncharacterized. Lineage: Eukaryota; Viridiplantae; Streptophyta; Magnoliopsida; Poales; Poaceae. The transcript has 4 exons. The record is from RefSeq and is a predicted model, not a curated record.